CGCUGAAAGCAUAUAAGCGGGAAGCCCCCUCCAAGAUAAGGUAUCCCAGGUCGUAAGACCUCUAAAGACCCCUCGUAGACUACGAGGUUGAUAGGCCGGAUGUGGAAGGCCAGUAAUGGUCGAAGCUAACCGGUACUAAUUGGUCGUGCGGCUUGACCAUAU
This 162-nucleotide ribosomal RNA is filed under the name Deltaproteobacteria bacterium. RNAcentral's name for it is "partial 23S ribosomal RNA". It matches the Rfam family "Bacterial large subunit ribosomal RNA", at positions 2769 to 2925 of the family's 2925-position model. The record is from RNAcentral. Lineage: Bacteria; Pseudomonadati; Myxococcota; Myxococcia.